RNAcentral lists this ribosomal RNA (2929 nucleotides) under Bacillus cereus. Its description in RNAcentral is "bacterial LSU rRNA". It matches the Rfam family "Bacterial large subunit ribosomal RNA". RNAcentral also lists the same sequence under 2 other names. The record is from RNAcentral. Lineage: Bacteria; Bacillati; Bacillota; Bacilli; Caryophanales; Bacillaceae.
UUUGGUUAAGUUAGAAAGGGCGCACGGUGGAUGCCUUGACACUAGGAGUCGAUGAAGGACGGGACUAACGCCGAUAUGCUUCGGGGAGCUGUAAGUAAGCUUUGAUCCGAAGAUUUCCGAAUGGGGAAACCCACCAUACGUAAUGGUAUGGUAUCCUUAUCUGAAUACAUAGGGUAAGGAAGACAGACCCAGGGAACUGAAACAUCUAAGUACCUGGAGGAAGAGAAAGCAAAUGCGAUUUCCUGAGUAGCGGCGAGCGAAACGGAACAUAGCCCAAACCAAGAGGCUUGCCUCUUGGGGUUGUAGGACAUUCUAUACGGAGUUACAAAGGAACGAGGUAGACGAAGCGACCUGGAAAGGUCCGUCGUAGAGGGUAACAACCCCGUAGUCGAAACUUCGUUCUCUCUUGAAUGUAUCCUGAGUACGGCGGAACACGUGAAAUUCCGUCGGAAUCUGGGAGGACCAUCUCCCAAGGCUAAAUACUCCCUAGUGAUCGAUAGUGAACCAGUACCGUGAGGGAAAGGUGAAAAGCACCCCGGAAGGGGAGUGAAAGAGAUCCUGAAACCGUGUGCCUACAAAUAGUCAGAGCCCGUUAACGGGUGAUGGCGUGCCUUUUGUAGAAUGAACCGGCGAGUUACGAUCCCGUGCGAGGUUAAGCUGAAGAGGCGGAGCCGCAGCGAAAGCGAGUCUGAAUAGGGCGUUUAGUACGUGGUCGUAGACCCGAAACCAGGUGAUCUACCCAUGUCCAGGGUGAAGUUCAGGUAACACUGAAUGGAGGCCCGAACCCACGCACGUUGAAAAGUGCGGGGAUGAGGUGUGGGUAGCGGAGAAAUUCCAAUCGAACCUGGAGAUAGCUGGUUCUCCCCGAAAUAGCUUUAGGGCUAGCCUUAAGUGUAAGAGUCUUGGAGGUAGAGCACUGAUUGGACUAGGGGUCCUCAUCGGAUUACCGAAUUCAGUCAAACUCCGAAUGCCAAUGACUUAUCCUUAGGAGUCAGACUGCGAGUGAUAAGAUCCGUAGUCAAAAGGGAAACAGCCCAGACCGCCAGCUAAGGUCCCAAAGUGUGUAUUAAGUGGAAAAGGAUGUGGAGUUGCUUAGACAACUAGGAUGUUGGCUUAGAAGCAGCCACCAUUUAAAGAGUGCGUAAUAGCUCACUAGUCGAGUGACUCUGCGCCGAAAAUGUACCGGGGCUAAAUACACCACCGAAGCUGCGGAUUGAUACCAAUGGUAUCAGUGGUAGGGGAGCGUUCUAAGGACAGUGAAGUCAGACCGUAAGGACUGGUGGAGUGCUUAGAAGUGAGAAUGCCGGUAUGAGUAGCGAAAGACGGGUGAGAAUCCCGUCCACCGAAUGCCUAAGGUUUCCUGAGGAAGGCUCGUCCGCUCAGGGUUAGUCAGGACCUAAGCCGAGGCCGACAGGCGUAGGCGAUGGACAACAGGUUGAUAUUCCUGUACCACCUCUUUAUCGUUUGAGCAAUGGAGGGACGCAGAAGGAUAGAAGAAGCGUGCGAUUGGUUGUGCACGUCCAAGCAGUUAGGCUGAUAAGUAGGCAAAUCCGCUUAUCGUAAAGGCUGAGCUGUGAUGGGGAAGCUCCUUAUGGAGCGAAGUCUUUGAUUCCCCGCUGCCAAGAAAAGCUUCUAGCGAGAUAAAAGGUGCCUGUACCGCAAACCGACACAGGUAGGCGAGGAGAGAAUCCUAAGGUGUGCGAGAGAACUCUGGUUAAGGAACUCGGCAAAAUGACCCCGUAACUUCGGGAGAAGGGGUGCUUUCUUAACGGAAAGCCGCAGUGAAUAGGCCCAAGCGACUGUUUAGCAAAAACACAGCUCUCUGCGAAGCCGUAAGGCGAAGUAUAGGGGGUGACACCUGCCCGGUGCUGGAAGGUUAAGGAGAGGGGUUAGCGUAAGCGAAGCUCUGAACUGAAGCCCCAGUAAACGGCGGCCGUAACUAUAACGGUCCUAAGGUAGCGAAAUUCCUUGUCGGGUAAGUUCCGACCCGCACGAAAGGUGUAACGAUUUGGGCACUGUCUCAACCAGAGACUCGGUGAAAUUAUAGUACCUGUGAAGAUGCAGGUUACCCGCGACAGGACGGAAAGACCCCGUGGAGCUUUACUGUAGCCUGAUAUUGAAUUUUGGUACAGUUUGUACAGGAUAGGCGGGAGCCAUUGAAACCGGAGCGCUAGCUUCGGUGGAGGCGCUGGUGGGAUACCGCCCUGACUGUAUUGAAAUUCUAACCUACGGGUCUUAUCGACCCGGGAGACAGUGUCAGGUGGGCAGUUUGACUGGGGCGGUCGCCUCCUAAAGUGUAACGGAGGCGCCCAAAGGUUCCCUCAGAAUGGUUGGAAAUCAUUCGUAGAGUGCAAAGGCAUAAGGGAGCUUGACUGCGAGACCUACAAGUCGAGCAGGGACGAAAGUCGGGCUUAGUGAUCCGGUGGUUCCGCAUGGAAGGGCCAUCGCUCAACGGAUAAAAGCUACCCCGGGGAUAACAGGCUUAUCUCCCCCAAGAGUCCACAUCGACGGGGAGGUUUGGCACCUCGAUGUCGGCUCAUCGCAUCCUGGGGCUGUAGUCGGUCCCAAGGGUUGGGCUGUUCGCCCAUUAAAGCGGUACGCGAGCUGGGUUCAGAACGUCGUGAGACAGUUCGGUCCCUAUCCGUCGUGGGCGUAGGAAAUUUGAGAGGAGCUGUCCUUAGUACGAGAGGACCGGGAUGGACGCACCGCUGGUGUACCAGUUGUUCUGCCAAGGGCAUAGCUGGGUAGCUAUGUGCGGAAGGGAUAAGUGCUGAAAGCAUCUAAGCAUGAAGCCCCCCUCAAGAUGAGAUUUCCCAUAGCGUAAGCUAGUAAGAUCCCUGAAAGAUGAUCAGGUUGAUAGGUUCGAGGUGGAAGCAUGGUGACAUGUGGAGCUGACGAAUACUAAUAGAUCGAGGACUUAACCAUAUAA